RNA transcript from Rhinopithecus roxellana (golden snub-nosed monkey), 1251 nucleotides. It is a transcript of the gene named protein SDA1 homolog pseudogene, with no coding region annotated. NCBI's taxonomy places the organism in Eukaryota, Metazoa, Chordata, Mammalia, Primates, Cercopithecidae. The transcript has a single exon. The record is from RefSeq and is a predicted model, not a curated record.
AAAAAAAAGAAGAAAAAAGCAGAGGUGUUUAACUUUUCAGCCAUUCACUUGAUUCAUGCAUAAUCCCCACAAUUUUGCAGAAAAACUACUAAAGCAGCUUGAGUGCUGUAAGGAGAGGUUUGAAGUGAAGAUGAUGCUCAUAAACCUCAUCUCCAGAUUGGUGGGAAUUCAUGAGCUCUUCCUCUUCAAUUUCUAUCCCUUUUCGCAAAGGUUUCUGCAGCCUCACCAAAGAGAAGUAACAAAGAUCCUCUGUUUGAUGCACAAGCAUCUCAUCACCUAGUACCCCCAGAGAUUAUUCAAUCAUUGCUUAUGACUGUGGCAAACAAUUUUGUUACCGACAAGAACUCUGGAGAAGUCAUGACAGUAGGAAUCAAUGCUGUAAAAGAGAUAACACCUUGAUGUCCUCUGGUCGUGACUGAAGAACUCCUCCAAGACCUGGUUCAUUAUAAAACACACAAGGAUAAGAAUGUAAUGAUGUCUGCUAGAACUUUGAUUCAGCUCUUCUGAACACUGAAUGCUCAGAUGCUGCAGAAGAAAUUUCGGGGUAAGCCUACAGAAGCCUCCGUAGAAGCAAGAGUACAAGAAUAUGGAGAAUUAGAUGCUAAAGUUUACAUUCCAGGAGCAGAAGUUCUGGAAGUUGAGAAAGAAGAGAAUGCUGAAAAUUAUGAAGAUGAAUGGGAAAAUACCAGUCUCCGUGAGGAGGAGGAUGCUGAUGGUGAAUGGAUUGAUGUGCAACACUCUUCCGAUGAAGAACAGCAAGAGAUCUCCAAGAAGCUGAACAGCAUGUCCAUGGAGGAGCGGAAAGCCAAAGCUGCAGCCAUCAGCACCAGCUGAGUUUUAACUCAGGAAGACUUCCAGAAAAUCCUCAUGGCCCAAAUGAGAAAAGAACUUGAUGCUGCCCCCGGGAAAUCCCAGAAGAGGAAAUACGUUGAAAGAGACAGUGAUGAAGAGCCCAGGGGUGAAUUACUUUCUCCUCGGGACAUUGAACGCCUUCAUUAAAAGUCAAAGUCUGACAAAGAGACAAGACUAGCAACUGCAAUGGCUGGAAAGACAGACCGAAAAGAAUUUGUGAGGAAGAAAACCAAAAUGAAUCAAUUUUCCAGUUCAACAAAUAAAGAGAAGGAAAAACAGAAGAACUUUAUGAUGAUGUGGUAUAGCCAGAAUGUCCGGUCAAAAAAUAAGCAUUCCUUCCAAGAAAAACAGUUGGUGCUAGGAGAUGCACUUUUGAAAAAGAGAAAAAGAAUGAAUUAA